This 21-nucleotide non-coding RNA is filed under the name Arabidopsis thaliana (thale cress). Lineage: Eukaryota; Viridiplantae; Streptophyta; Magnoliopsida; Brassicales; Brassicaceae. The record is from RNAcentral.
GUUAAAAAGCUCGUAGUUGAA